This 1109-nucleotide long non-coding RNA is filed under the name Panax ginseng (ginseng). RNAcentral describes it as "long non-coding RNA (PGIN_LNC005169)". Lineage: Eukaryota; Viridiplantae; Streptophyta; Magnoliopsida; Apiales; Araliaceae. The record is from RNAcentral.
CGGAAUACCCGAAAAAUCAAAAUAAUUAUUAAUUAAAAAAUAAAAUUUUUAUAAUUAUAUAUGUAUGACAGUACAAGUCUGUCUGUCUAAUGAGUCUAUCAUUAUUCCAGUAUUCACAUCCCAAUUCCUUCACGGUCUUGCCUCUAUUCGUCUCUCGUCUCAUCCUCUCCACCUCUCUCUCCGUCUCAGUCUCCGGCCUCCGCCUCUCACGAUCUCACCUCGACAACUAUGUUCUUCAAUCUCGACGGCCCGACCUCUCUUCCGAGUUCCAACGUCAGGUAAAUAUAUAUGGCAUACUACUAAUGUUCAAUCCCUUCCUCACACUUACGGAUCUGGAAACAGGACAUGUAAAUUAAUGUAAAUCUAGAAACAUGACGCCUUUCCUUGGAUCAAGUUGGUGAUUUUUGAAACUGGGUCUUUAUUAUUUCUUUCAAUUUUGGUGCAUAAAUGGUUGCCCGGUUAAACAAUUUGAAGAAACCGGCGCACUUAUGACUUUCUGUUGUUGAUUGUAAUUUGUAAUGUUGUAACCUGUUUAGUGUUAAGGUAACUGUUAAUUAUGGAAGCCUUUUAUUUCAGUUAUUCGGUUAUUAGCUAAUUCGAUUAACAAUUCGGAUACUAAAAAUGCGUUAAUUUCGAUUUUCAGCUAUAACCGAAUAGUUUAUUCGGUUCGGUUUGGUUAUAACCGAAUGCUCACUCCUAAUUACAAUUGUAUUAAUCAUUUAAGAUCAAGUUUACUAGCUUUAUCAAUAUUCGUGAUAUUAUAGAUUCAGUUCGACUCGAUUUACACUUCUAUGAGUGCAUUUUAAGCAAACAAAUUUCUUCUCACUUUUGAGAAGAAAGUUAAAGAAAAGAAAAUAAAACAUUCUCUUCUCUUCUCUUUUUUUUUUCUUUAAUUGAAAAACUCUCAGCCACUAUGUUAUUUUGUUAAGAAAAGAAGCUAAGGAAAAUCUAUUCGAAUAUCUCCAAUUCUUAUAUUUGUGAGUUUUUUAAGAAAGAACGAAAGAGAUUUUGAAAUAAAAUUAAUUUUAUUGUUGAGUUAAAACCUUCACCGAAAAGGUAGAGGAUUUAGAAAGACGAUUACAUAUUUUACAUUACCAAAAAUAAUAUUU